Molecule: ribosomal RNA, 253 nt
Filed under: uncultured microorganism
Description: partial 16S ribosomal RNA
Rfam family: Bacterial small subunit ribosomal RNA
Source: RNAcentral
UACGUAGGGUGCAAGCGUUAAUCGGACUUACUGGGCGUAAAGCGUGCGCAGGCGGUUCGGUAAGACAGGUGUGAAAUCCCUGGGCUCAACCUGGGAAUUGCGCUUGUGACUGGCGGGCUCGAGUACGGUAGAGGGGGGUGGAAUUCCUGGUGUAGCAGUGAAAUGCGUAGAGAUCAGGAGGAACACCGAUGGCGAAGGCAGCCCCCUGGGCCUGUACUGACGCUCAUGCACGAAAGCGUGGGGAGCAAACAGG